Molecule: long non-coding RNA, 230 nt
Filed under: Prunus persica (peach)
Lineage: Eukaryota; Viridiplantae; Streptophyta; Magnoliopsida; Rosales; Rosaceae
Description: long non-coding RNA (PPER_LNC000253)
Source: RNAcentral
UUAGAUAAACACAUUUAGGUCUGUGACAAAGUUCUUGCAGAAGUUUCCUAGUUUUCCGUUACUACAAGAAAUAUCUGACUUUAUAUAUUUGAUUGCAGACUAAUCAAAGUCGUCAGCUGUGAUUAUUUAGAAGAAACUUCCAACAAAAAUCAUGGUAUUGUUUCUAUAAAGUUACACUCAAUUUCGGUCAUAUUAGUCGGCUUAAUCACAGUGAUUACGGUCCUUAACCC